ACCGUGCAAAGGUAGCAUAAUCAUUAGUCUAUUAAUUAUAGAAUAGUAUGAAUGGUUGGACGAAACAUUGUCUGUCUUAUUUAUAUUUAUUUGAAUUUAACAUUUGAGUUAAAAGGCUUAAGUUUUAUUAUAGGACGAGAAGACCCUAUAGAUCUUUAUUUAUUUUUUUUAUUAUAUUUUUUUUGUUUAUUUUUAAUUAAUUAAUUUAUUUAUUUUGUUGGGGUGGCAUUGAGAUAAAAUUAACUCUUUUUUUUUUCUUCAUUGAUUUAUGUUUAUUUGACCUUUUAUUAUUGUAUACAAGAAUUAGAUACCUUAGGGAUAACAGCGUAAUUCUUUUUGAGAGUUCCUAUUGACAUUAGAGAUUGCGACCUCGAUGUUGAAUUAAGGUUAUUAUUGGGUGUAGUUGUUCAAUUAAUUGGUCUGUUCGACCAUUAAAAUCUUACAUGAUCUGAGUUCAAA
Molecule: ribosomal RNA, 459 nt
Filed under: Nanophyllium rentzi
Lineage: Eukaryota; Metazoa; Arthropoda; Insecta; Phasmatodea; Phylliidae
Description: partial large subunit ribosomal RNA
Rfam family: Bacterial large subunit ribosomal RNA (bases 318-459)
Source: RNAcentral